This 522-nucleotide ribosomal RNA is filed under the name uncultured bacterium. RNAcentral describes it as "bacterial SSU rRNA". It matches the Rfam family "Bacterial small subunit ribosomal RNA", at positions 9 to 518 of the family's 1533-position model. The record is from RNAcentral.
AGGUUCGAUCCUGGCUCAGGAUGAACGCUAGCUACAGGCUUAACACAUGCAAGUCGAGGGGCAGCAUGAUCAAAGCUUGCUUUGAUUGAUGGCGACCGGCGCACGGGUGCGUAACGCGUAUCCAACCUGCCAUGUACUCCGGGAUAGCCCUCUGAAAGGAGGAUUAAUACCGGAUGUGGUUGUUUGAGGACAUCCUCUUACAAUUAAAGAUUCAUCGGUACAUCGAUGGGGAUGCGUACGAUUAGUUAGUCGGCGGGGUAACGGCCCACCGAGACGACGAUCGUUAGGGGUUCUGAGAGGAAGGUCCCCCACAUAGGAACUGAGACACGGUCCUAACUCCUACGGGAGGCAGCAGUGAGGAAUAUUGGUCAAUGGGCGAGAGCCUGAACCAGCCAAAGUAGCGUGAAGGAUGACUGCCCUAUGGGUUGUAAACUUCUUUUAGGGGCGAAUAAAGUGCCGUACGCGUACGGUUUUGUAGGUAUCCCCUGAAUAAGCAUCGGCUAAUUCCGUGCCAGCCGCGGC